UGGCAAUCCACCAGAUGUGGCUACUAUCUUUUUUGAGACUCGUUAGAAGGAUAGCAAGAUUGUUGAACCUGAAACCAAUGAAAAAUAUGCUAAAGUCCAAGAAGUGGUGCAAUCUGAAUCGUCUCUUACAAACAUUAAGGUUGUAGAGAGGUGCUUUGGUCCUCAACGCAAGAGUCAUGUAGUUAGAUUUGUUGGUUUGAUAACCGUUUAAGGGUUGAAAGGUGGUAACUCCUCAAAAGCUACAUUAUUAGAGAAGUUGAAUGCUACUAAAACGAAAAAUGAAUCACGGACGCCUGGAAGAGCUAGAGAGUAGAUAUGAUGUGUAAGACAGUAAAUACGCAUAGCUUGCAAGUGCAGUAUUUGAUCGGCCUUCAUCACCAUCUUCAACUUAGCAGUAGAUUGAAUCAUUUAACAGAUCAAAUAUUUGAACUCCGAAGAAGUUGUCCUUGAAGAAAGUGUAGAGUAAUUUCAAGUACAAGAGGUUUAUAUUUUGUUAGGAUGGUUUAAAGCGACUAUACAUAUGCUGUAAUUUUUUUUCUCUUCUUAGGAAUUAUUAAAAAUGAUGUCAUAUGAUUUAGAUUGGUUUCUGGUAAAUAUGACACUUUACUUCUUUGUAUUGACAAAGAUACCAAGUAUUUGGUUUAUUUUAGAGUGUUAUUGG
Molecule: long non-coding RNA, 661 nt
Organism: Nicotiana attenuata
Lineage: Eukaryota; Viridiplantae; Streptophyta; Magnoliopsida; Solanales; Solanaceae
Exons: 3
Source: RefSeq, a predicted model, not a curated record